AUUUAUUAAAACGAUACUCUUGAGUGUAGACAAAUGGAUUAAUUUGCAACAUUAGCAAACUGGUUCAAUAAAAUUUAAAUUUCUUAUUACAAUGUAGACCAAUAGACUCUGUGCACAAGCGUAGCGACGAACUUCCGCUGUUAACAGAAGUCGGGAUAUCAGUUUCCGGUUUACUUCCUGUCUUCAUCCGCAUCCGUAAACAAACAAGAUGAGUGCUGCUGUAUGAAAAAAUAAAUAUAAUCUACGAAUCACUGCUGUGUGCCACUUUGCUCGGCUUCAGGUCUGUAUAACAGACAUUUGAGCUUCCACCGCUUCCCCAAGAAGACCAGCCUUCGUGUGCAGUGGCUGCACAAAAUAAGGAGGGUGGGAUUUUCGGUGACCCCCCCCACACCAAGGUAUGCAGCCGACAUUUUCAAGAUAAUGAAAUCCACACUACUGCUAAGGGUAGAUGGGUUUUAGCAGCAGGCUCUGUCCCAUCAUUAUUCGAGUGGAAUAGCUACACUACGAAGUCACGGGCCGGUGUUUGGGAACGCCGUUCUCGACCGCCAAGUCCGGGACCUGACUCGGCGGGGCCUGUGGAGCACAUCGGUCAUCCCGUCAUGGUUCCGAUGGUCGUGGACCACGACUACGGGGCCAGCCGUACUGUAUGUGUGGACCGGGAGCAGUAUGAAGAUGCGUUGAGCGAAAUCGAGACGCUGAGAGGGCAGCUCCAAACAUUUCAUCUUCAUCACUCCUUUGGACUUAAACGGUUUGCUUCGUCACCUGAAGACAUCAGAUUUUACACCAGAUUCUUCUCAUACGAGCAUCUGAUGGCGUUUUGAACCUGAUCGAGGCAGCAACAGCCAAAAUAGUUAGUCACCAGGUCAAAGAAAACCGAUGCCACUAGCACAACAACUGAAAGCCCUUUAACCAGACCAACUGUAAGUACCAACAGCCCCCCACACCCCUAAGCAUGAAAAGGAUGGUUUUGAAUUAACACUCAUUAAGCAUGUCUCCCCCAGAAACUGCUACCGAUAGAUUAGCUCUUUCUCUUCCUCACAUACCUAUCCACUGGCUGUACCCAGAGAGAAUUGAGUCACAGAUAUCCACCGAACAACAGUCACCCGAAUCAUCAUUACCUGGGCCAACUUCCUCUACAGCUUAC
Molecule: long non-coding RNA, 1144 nt
Filed under: Sinocyclocheilus grahami
Lineage: Eukaryota; Metazoa; Chordata; Actinopteri; Cypriniformes; Cyprinidae
Description: lncRNA (ENSSGRG00000017592.1)
Source: RNAcentral